This 88-nucleotide transfer RNA is filed under the name Cytophagales bacterium. RNAcentral's name for it is "tRNA-Leu". It matches the Rfam family "tRNA". From Rfam's summary of the family: Transfer RNA (tRNA) molecules are approximately 80 nucleotides in length. Their secondary structure includes four short double-helical elements and three loops (D, anti-codon, and T loops). The record is from RNAcentral. Lineage: Bacteria; Pseudomonadati; Bacteroidota; Cytophagia; Cytophagales.
GCACAAGUGGUGAAAUUGGUAUACACGCUACUUUGAGGGGGUAGUGCCUAAUUUUUUGGGCGUGGGGGUUCGAGUCCCCCCUUGUGCA